AAUUGGAGGGCAAGUCUGGUGCCAGCAGCCGCGGUAAUUCCAGCUCCAAUAGCGUAUAUUAAAGUUGUUGCAGUUAAAAAGCUCGUAGUUGAAUUUCGGGAUCAAUAUUUCGGUCAUGCCGUUGGUAUGCACUGUUAUCAUUGAUUUCUCACCUUCUAAAGAACCGUAAUGCCAUUAAUUUGGUGUUACGGGGAAUUAGGACUGUUACCUUGAAAAAAUUAGAGUGUUUAAAGCAGGCUCACGCUUGAAUACAUUAGCGUGGAAUAAUGAAAUAGGACAUCCGAUUCUAUUUUGUUGGUUUCUAGGAUCGAUGUAAUGAUUAAUAGGGAUAGUUGGGGGCAUUAGUAUUCAAUUGUCAGAGGUGAAAUUCUUGGAUUUAUUGAAGACUAACUACUGCGAAAGCAUUUGCCAAGGAUGUUUUCAUUAAUCAAGAACGAAAGUUAGGGGAUCGAAGACGAUCAGAUACCGUCGUAGUCUUAACCAUAAACUAUGCCGACUAGGGAUCGGAUGAUGUUAAUUUUUUAAUGACUCAUUCGGCGCCUUACGGGAAACCAAAGUGU
Molecule: ribosomal RNA, 560 nt
Filed under: uncultured Glomus
Lineage: Eukaryota; Fungi; Glomeromycota; Glomeromycetes; Glomerales; Glomeraceae
Description: SSU rRNA
Rfam family: Eukaryotic small subunit ribosomal RNA
Source: RNAcentral